Molecule: ribosomal RNA, 402 nt
Filed under: uncultured bacterium
Lineage: Bacteria
Description: bacterial SSU rRNA
Rfam family: Bacterial small subunit ribosomal RNA
Source: RNAcentral
UGGGGAAUAUUGGACAAUGGGCGCAAGCCUGAUCCAGCCAUGCCGCGUGAGUGAUGAAGGCCUUAGGGUUGUAAAGCUCUUUUAUCCGGGACGAUAAUGACGGUACCGGAAGAAUAAGCCCCGGCUAACUUCGUGCCAGCAGCCGCGGUAAUACGAAGGGGGCUAGCGUUGCUCGGAAUCACUGGGCGUAAAGGGCGCGUAGGCGGACAUUUAAGUCAGGGGUGAAAUCCCGGGGCUCAACCUCGGAAUUGCCUUUGAUACUGGGUGUCUCGAGACCGGAAGAGGUAAGUGGAACUGCGAGUGUAGAGGCGAAAUGCGUAGAUAUUCGCAAGAACACCAGUGGCGAAGGCGGCUUACUGGUCCGGUUCUGACGCUGAGGCGCGAAAGCGUGGGGAGCAAACA